This is a long non-coding RNA of Fukomys damarensis (Damara mole-rat), 2069 nucleotides long. Lineage: Eukaryota; Metazoa; Chordata; Mammalia; Rodentia; Bathyergidae. The record is from Ensembl.
GUCAUAGUUAGCAUUUACAAUUGCUGCUAGGAAUUCACAUUAAGUAAGACAGAGAAAUGACCACCGGAGUGGAAUGGGAGUGGAAUUACUAUAACCUGUAAUGGGAGAAAGAAGAAGUAGAGACUUUGAGAGAAGAUUCUAUUAUAAAGUUGUGUUUUGAACAAGGAGCAAAGAACUAAGCUGAAGGAAUCUCCGAGGCCAUGGGAAAAAUAUUUUCAAAGGAGGGCAAUAUUAAUGAGUACAUGGUUCAGGAAACUGGAGCUAAAUCCAGCAGGAAUGAGUCUGGAUCCCUUCGGCACAAGGACCCGCCCCUCCCUUUUCAGGUCAAUCACUACCUGCUGAGAACAGCUCUCUCACUGCUUCCCGUUUUUCCUGCCAUGUUGUGCAUAUAUCCCAGAGUACCACUUUCUGCAUCCAACACAUACACUUUUAAGCACCUGCCAGGCUCUGCACUAGCUUCCAGGGAUGUAAAGACGGAUGGCAUAUGCUUUCCUGCCCAGCGGGAGCCUUGCAUUCAUGAACAGAACGGUGCAAGACCAAUAGCAAGCUCCAUGCUAGGCAACAGCACAUGGGCGUGCAGAAGUGGAGCGAGAAGUUAACUCAGAAGGGAAAGGAAUGGGAUGAAUGGAGCCUGAGGGCGUCAUACAUUCUGGUGCAGUUUCUCAACUUUAGCCUCACGGACAUGUUGAGCCAGAUGAUUCUUUGCUGCAGAGGAAAGAGACGUUCACUCAAGACAUUCAAGACACUCUCGGUCCCUGUUGGCUAAGUAACAGUGGCAUCCCCUCCUCAGUUGCACCAAUCAUUAACAUAUCUAGACAUUGUCAGUUUUACUGCCGGGGACAAAAUCAGCCCUAGUUGAGCACCACUGCGCUAAGCACGGUUAAAAGAAUUAGAAGCAGGUUGGUAUGGAGAGGAGCCAAGUGGUGACUGACGUUGGAGAGGGAGAAGAAAACAAAAGCCAGAUCUUCAAAGGCCUUCCAUGCCUUUCAAUUCCAGGAAAGUUAUUUGACCUAACAAGAGUGUUUCAUCUUUUGAGAAACGGAACUUGUAAUACUUUUCCCAAGUGACUGUGGUGAAGGCUAAACGCAAUCGCAUUUGUAAAGAGCAGCACUGUGCUGUCACUGUCAGAAAGGGAUUUGUUCUCUCUCUCCUGCUCAGUCCAGAAUGGGAGCUAAAGUGAUAAAUGGAAGAACAGUCAGAGGCUGGAGUGAGAGGUGGGCAGGGCCUCUAAGACAGGAACAGAUUAAGCCACAUCCAAAAGAGAACACUUGGUAGCUGGAUGAGCUCCCACAAGGCCAGCAGAAGCUUUAAUGCUCCAUCUCCCUGCCUCUGCCCAAACCCACCAUGAGCUUAUCUUUCCAGAACACCUGGCUGACAUAUGUUAGUCAGGCACACUGCUUUGUCCAUUAUUUAUCUCAACCCAGCAAACAACUACAGUGUUCUCUACGUAGACAGCUCAGGUCAUGGAAAAGAGGGAAUAGGCAUGGUGAUGAAUAGAACACGUAGGCUGCAGAACUUCCCAUUCCAAGAGAGGGAAAGAGCAUAUCCUGUUCCUCCUGUCAGGAGAACCUCCCUCUCUCUCCAGGUCCACAAGUUCAGGUCUCAGCUCAGGCCUCAUCUUCUCUCUGAAGCUGUCCUCACAGCUCCUGCAUCCUGAAUGAAGCUCCGGCUCUUUUCUAUGCAAUGCACAGCAUGUACGUAUGAUCUGUACCAUCGCCUUUGGUGUGUUAUCUUGAAAUGGAUUUUUUAGUUCCUUUAUCCACUAAUCAAUGACUUUAAGUGACUUGAAGGAUGCAUUCUACACUUCUCAAGUAUUGAUUGCAUUAAUCAGCGAAGACCCUAAACCCCAGUUACAUUUCCCCAGUUAUCCAUUGAAUGUAAACAAACAGAGAAUUAUGUUUUAAAUAAAGCAUUCUCACCCUCCCCAUCUUCCAGUGCUCGCAUAUGAGUUACCUUCUAGCUAACACAUACAUGCUUCCAGUUCAUUGUCCAGAGUUUAACCACCUGCCCUAUUUCCACAGGGCUGCCGUACAUACACGUUGUAAAACGACCCGCAGACUCAUCAUAGG